GUACACAAAAAUGCACAUGCUGUGAGCUCGAUGAGUAGGGCGGGACACGUGGUAUCCUGUCUGAAUAUGGGGGGACCAUCCUCCAAGGCUAAAUACUCCUGACUGACCGAUAGUGAACCAGUACCGUGAGGGAAAGGCGAAAAGAACCCCGGCGAGGGGAGUGAAAAAGAACCUGAAACCGUGUACGUACAAGCAGUGGGAGCACGCUUAGGCGUGUGACUGCGUACCUUUUGUAUAAUGGGUCAGCGACUUAUAUUCUGUAGCAAGGUUAACCGAAUAGGGGAGCCGAAGGGAAACCGAGUCUUAACUGGGCGUUAAGUUGCAGGGUAUAGACCCGAAACCCGGUGAUCUAGCCAUGGGCAGGUUGAAGGUUGGGUAACACUAACUGGAGGACCGAACCGACUAAUGUUGAAAAAUUAGCGGAUGACUUGUGGCUGGGGGUGAAAGGCCAAUCAAACCGGGAGAUAGCUGGUUCUCCCCGAAAGCUAUUUAGGUAGCGCCUCGUGAAUUCAUCUCCGGGGGUAGAGCACUGUUUCGGCAAGGGGGUCAUCCCGACUUACCAACCCGAUGCAAACUGCGAAUACCGGAGAAUGUUAUCACGGGAGACACACGGCGGGUGCUAACGUCCGUCGUGAAGAGGGAAACAACCCAGACCGCCAGCUAAGGUCCCAAAGUCAUGGUUAAGUGGGAAACGAUGUGGGAAGGCCCAGACAGCCAGGAUGUUGGCUUAGAAGCAGCCAUCAUUUAAAGAAAGCGUAAUAGCUCACUGGUCGAGUCGGCCUGCGCGGAAGAUGUAACGGGGCUAAACCAUGCACCGAAGCUGCGGCAGCGACGCUGAUGCGUUGUUGGGUAGGGGAGCGUUCUGUAAGCCUG
RNAcentral lists this ribosomal RNA (873 nucleotides) under Escherichia coli. Its description in RNAcentral is "partial 23S ribosomal RNA". It matches the Rfam family "Bacterial large subunit ribosomal RNA", at positions 375 to 1251 of the family's 2925-position model. The record is from RNAcentral. Lineage: Bacteria; Pseudomonadati; Pseudomonadota; Gammaproteobacteria; Enterobacterales; Enterobacteriaceae.